This 379-nucleotide ribosomal RNA is filed under the name uncultured bacterium. Its description in RNAcentral is "bacterial SSU rRNA". It matches the Rfam family "Bacterial small subunit ribosomal RNA", at positions 29 to 410 of the family's 1533-position model. The record is from RNAcentral.
AUUGAACGCUGGCGGCAUGCCUUACACAUGCAAGUCGAACGGCAGCACGGGAGCAAUCCUGGUGGCGAGUGCGAACGGGUGAGUAAUACAUCGGAACGUGCCCGGUAGUGGGGGAUAACCCGGCGAAAGCCGGACUAAUACCGCAUACGACCUGAGGGUGAAAGCGGGGGAUCGCAAGACCUUGCGCUACAGGAGCGGCCGAUGACAGAUUAGCUAGUUGGUGGGGUAAAGGCCACCAAGGCGACGAUCUGUAGCUGGUCUGAGAGGACGACCAGCCACACUGGGACUGAGACACGGCCCAGACUCCUACGGGAGGCAGCAGUGGGGAAUUUUGGACAAUGGGCGCAAGCCUGAAUCCAGCCAUGCCGCGUGCGGGAAG